GUCCUGCCGUCUCUGGCCUGAGUGCUGAUCUCAUACCUUGAUGAUGAUCUCAGAAGACAGGUAGGCAGACAAACAGA
Tursiops truncatus (common bottlenose dolphin) is the source of this 77-nucleotide microRNA precursor. NCBI's taxonomy places the organism in Eukaryota, Metazoa, Chordata, Mammalia, Artiodactyla, Delphinidae. The record is from Ensembl.